GCUCUCUCUGUGAACUCCUGAAAACAUUUCUUAAAACCUUUCUCGUGAAUUCAGACCAUGAAAUAAAACGGGAGUGUGUGUGUGUGAGUGUGUGUGUGUAUA
This is a non-coding RNA of Ceratotherium simum simum (southern white rhinoceros), 102 nucleotides long. The record is from RefSeq and is a predicted model, not a curated record. Lineage: Eukaryota; Metazoa; Chordata; Mammalia; Perissodactyla; Rhinocerotidae.